This 102-nucleotide ribosomal RNA is filed under the name Oncidium morganii. Its description in RNAcentral is "partial 18S ribosomal RNA". It matches the Rfam family "Eukaryotic small subunit ribosomal RNA", at positions 1730 to 1831 of the family's 1831-position model. Lineage: Eukaryota; Viridiplantae; Streptophyta; Magnoliopsida; Asparagales; Orchidaceae. The record is from RNAcentral.
UCGCCGCCCGUGACUCGGCGAGAANUCCAUUGAACCUUAUCAUUUAGAGGAAGGAGAAGUCGUAACAAGGUUUCCGUAGGUGAACCUGCGGAAGGAUCAUUG